This is a long non-coding RNA of Equus caballus (horse), 612 nucleotides long. NCBI's taxonomy places the organism in Eukaryota, Metazoa, Chordata, Mammalia, Perissodactyla, Equidae. The record is from Ensembl.
UAAUGUGCAGUUUUCCUCUGCCCUAGAAACAGUCAAAAGAGAGGAAUUGGCAAAGCCAGCCAAGGAGGACCUGUGGCUCACCCCUAAUUGCUGAAAACCUACCACGUGCCAGGCUCCGGCCUUUCACUGCCAACAAGAGAAGACUGUGAUAUGGUCCUGUUAUCAGUGAGCUCACAGAAAAGGGAACAUCCCAGCCUAGCAGGAUGCCAUUUCAGGCGCCAGAGAUACAGAAAUGAAUGAAUGAGACGAAGGUCCCCAUCUUCACGGAGCUUACAUUCUAGUGAGAGGAGACAGGCCAUCAAUGAAUAAAAAGUCAGAAAAAUAUAGUAUAUCAGCUGGCGAUAAGCGUGAAGAUGACAGAGCCUGGAGGAAGGGCAGAGCACACCUGGGCAGCGGCUGGGGGAAUGUGACUUCAAAGGCGGUGCCAUGGAGGGCCUCCCUGAGAAGAGGGCAUUCGAGCAAAGACGCAAAGGAGGAAGACAGCAGGUCCUGGGGACAUCUGGGGAGUGUCCCAGAUGGAGGGAAGAGCAGACGCUCUUUGAAGAUCAAGUUUACUCCCUCCGUUCCUUCCUCCUUCCCUCCUUUCCUUCCUUUUUUGUCUUCAUUUAUUUC